Molecule: ribosomal RNA, 497 nt
Filed under: uncultured bacterium
Lineage: Bacteria
Description: partial 16S ribosomal RNA
Rfam family: Bacterial small subunit ribosomal RNA
Source: RNAcentral
GACGAACGCUGGCGGCGUGCCUAAUACAUGCAAGUUGAGCGAUGAAGAUUGGUGCUUGCACCAAUUUGAAGAGCAGCGAACGGGUGAGUAACGCGUGGGGAAUCUGCCUUUGAGCGGGGGACAACAUUUGGAAACGAAUGCUAAUACCGCAUAACAACUUUAAACAUAAGUUUUAAGUUUGAAAGAUGCAAUUGCAUCACUCAAAGAUGAUCCCGCGUUGUAUUAGCUAGUUGGUGAGGUAAAGGCUCACCAAGGCGAUGAUACAUAGCCGACCUGAGAGGGUGAUCGGCCACAUUGGGACUGGGACACGGCCCAAACUGCUACGGGAGGCAGCAGUAGGGAAUCUUCGGCAAUGGACGAAAGUCUGACCGGGCAACGCCGCGUGAGUGAAGAAGGUUUUCGGAUCGUAAAACUCUGUUGGUAGAGAAGAACGUUGGUGAGAGUGGAAAGCUCAUCAAGUGACGGUAACUACCCAGAAAGGGACGGCUAACUACGUG